Lolium perenne is the source of this 630-nucleotide long non-coding RNA. RefSeq lists it as uncharacterized. The record is from RefSeq and is a predicted model, not a curated record. Lineage: Eukaryota; Viridiplantae; Streptophyta; Magnoliopsida; Poales; Poaceae.
UACCAGGGGAUAUUUGGUUUAUACCAUGGUGAUAACCGAGAGAGGCAAUUGCUAAGUUGUGACGCACUCAUACCUCUACUAGAUGCGAACAAUUCCGGAGAAGAAGAAGAAGUGGUUCGGACAAAGAUUUUAUUUAUAUUGACGGGAUUCUUAUAUUGAUGAAGUUGAAGAAGUCCAGGGACAAAUAAGCCAAGGCAAGCCAUCUUUUGAUCUCUGUUUUGGUGUCUAGUUGGAUGUCAUUUGUUGAUGUCCAAAGCACCUUGAAUUCUAUGUGUGUUAUUCUCUCUAUUUAUGUCAUCUAUGUGUGUUUCCAAGUGGGGUACUCCCUAGUGGUGAUACUCCACCUUUGUCUUGUGAUUAUGGGAUACAUGGCAUCAUGGCCGCGCUACUCCCAUUGGUUAUCAUGUAUGCCCAACUUGAGCAUGCAUAAUCUCAAGAAAAUAACUUACAUCACACCCACCCCCUUUGUAGUAUAGAGGUGUCUAUGUCAUGAUCUUGGUGUAUUCUCCAAUUGAGAGGAGUAUGCCGUGUACCCUAUUGGAGAGUAUGUUGGAUAGUAAUACUCCACUAUCUAAGUUGUAUAGUUACCACCACAAAUCUGAGAGUAUAUUCCUCCUUGUGUUGUCAUAA